Molecule: ribosomal RNA, 429 nt
Filed under: Pseudomonadota bacterium
Lineage: Bacteria; Pseudomonadati; Pseudomonadota
Description: Proteobacteria bacterium partial 16S ribosomal RNA
Rfam family: Bacterial small subunit ribosomal RNA
Source: RNAcentral
UGGGGAAUAUUGGACAAUGGGCGAAAGCCUGAUCCAGCCAUGCCGCGUGUGUGAAGAAGGUCUUCGGAUUGUAAAGCACUUUAAGUUGGGAGGAAGGGCAGUAAGCGAAUACCUUGCUGUUUUGACGUUACCGACAGAAUAAGCACCGGCUAACUCUGUGCCAGCAGCCGCGGUAAUACAGAGGGUGCAAGCGUUAAUCGGAAUUACUGGGCGUAAAGCGCGCGUAGGUGGUUCGUUAAGUUGAAUGUGAAAGCCACGGGCUCAACCUGGGAACUGCAUCCAAAACGUGCGAGCUAGAGUAGGGCAGAGGGUGGUGAAAUUGCCUGUGUAGCGGUGAAAUGCGUAGAUAUAGGAAGGAACACCAGUGGCGAAGGCGACCACCUGGGCUCAUACUGACACUGAGGUGCGAAAGCGUGGGGAGCAAACAGG